GCCUGGGUGGCUCAGUUGGUUGAGCAUCUGACUUCGGCUCAGGUCAUGAUAUCAUGGUUUGUUGGUUCAAGCCCAGCAUCGGGCU
RNAcentral lists this transfer RNA (85 nucleotides) under Felis catus (domestic cat). It matches the Rfam family "tRNA". Rfam says of the family: Transfer RNA (tRNA) molecules are approximately 80 nucleotides in length. The record is from Rfam by way of RNAcentral. Lineage: Eukaryota; Metazoa; Chordata; Mammalia; Carnivora; Felidae.